RNAcentral lists this ribosomal RNA (445 nucleotides) under uncultured bacterium. RNAcentral describes it as "bacterial SSU rRNA". It matches the Rfam family "Bacterial small subunit ribosomal RNA", at positions 338 to 795 of the family's 1533-position model. The record is from RNAcentral.
CCUACGGGAUGCACCAGUGGGGAAUAUUGCACAAUGGGCGCAAGCCUGAUGCAGCAACGCCGCGUGAGGGACGAAGGCCUUCGGGUUGUAAACCUCUUUUAGCAGGGAAGAAGCGAAAGUGACGGUACCUGCAGAAAAAGCACCGGCUAACUACGUGCCAGCAGCCGCGGUAAUACGUAGGGUGCAAGCGUUGUCCGGAAUUAUUGGGCGUAAAGAGCUCGUAGGCGGUUUGUCGCGUCUGCUGUGAAAACCCGAGGCUCAACCUCGGGCUUGCAGUGGGUACGGGCAGACUAGAGUGCGGUAGGGGAGAUUGGAAUUCCUGGUGUAGCGGUGGAAUGCGCAGAUAUCAGGAGGAACACCGAUGGCGAAGGCAGAUCUCUGGGCCGUAACUGACGCUGAGGAGCGAAAGCAUGGGGAGCAAACAGGAUUAGAUACCCUAGUAGUC